GAUGAACGCUGACGGCGUGCCUAAUACAUGCAAGUCGAGCGAACGGACGAGAAGCUUGCUUCUCUGAUGUUAGCGGCGGACGGGUGAGUAACACGUGGAUAACCUACCUAUAAGACUGGGAUAACUUCGGGAAACCGGAGCUAAUACCGGAUAAUAUUUUGAACCGCAUGGUUCAAAAGUGAAAGACGGUCUUGCCGUCACUUAUAGAUGGAUCCGCGCUGCAUUAGCUAGUUGGUAAGGUAACGGCUUACCAAGGCAACGAUGCAUAGCCGACCUGAGAGGGUGAUCGGCCACACUGGAACUGAGACACGGUCCAGACUCCUACGGGAGGCAGCAGUAGGGAAUCUUCCGCAAUGGGCGAAAGCCUGACGGAGCAACGCCGCGUGAGUGAUGAAGGUCUUCGGAUCGUAAAACUCUGUCAUUAGGGAAGAACAUAUGUGUAAGUAACAGUGCACAUCUUGACGGUACCUAAUCAGAAAGCCACGGCUAACUACGUG
RNAcentral lists this ribosomal RNA (497 nucleotides) under uncultured bacterium. RNAcentral describes it as "partial 16S ribosomal RNA". It matches the Rfam family "Bacterial small subunit ribosomal RNA", at positions 28 to 507 of the family's 1533-position model. The record is from RNAcentral.